UACGUAGGGUGCAAGCGUUGUCCGGAAUUACUGGGCGUAAAGAGCUCGUAGGCGGCUUGUCGCGUUGUCCGUGAAAAUUUACCGCUCAACGGUGAACUUGCGGGCGAUACGGGCAGGCUAGAGUACUGCAGGGGAGACUGGAAUUCCUGGUGUAGCGGUGAAAUGCGCAGAUAUCAGGAGGAACACCGGUGGCGAAGGCGGGUCUCUGGGCAGUAACUGACGCUGAGGAGCGAAAGCGUGGGGAGCGAACAGG
This 253-nucleotide ribosomal RNA is filed under the name uncultured bacterium. Its description in RNAcentral is "partial 16S ribosomal RNA". It matches the Rfam family "Bacterial small subunit ribosomal RNA", at positions 524 to 776 of the family's 1533-position model. The record is from RNAcentral.